RNAcentral lists this ribosomal RNA (491 nucleotides) under uncultured bacterium. Its description in RNAcentral is "partial 16S ribosomal RNA". It matches the Rfam family "Bacterial small subunit ribosomal RNA", at positions 28 to 507 of the family's 1533-position model. The record is from RNAcentral.
GAUGAACGCUAGCUGCAGGCUUAACACAUGCAAGUCGCGGGGCAGCAUGGGGGUUGCUUGCAACCCCUGAUGGCGACCGGCGCACGGGUGAGGAACGCGUAUCCAACCUGCCCUUCACCACGGGAUAACCCGGCGAAAGUCGGACUAAUACCGAAUGUUGUCCAUGGACGGCAUCCGAGAUGGUCGGAAGGCUUGGGGGUGAAGGCGCGGGGAUGCGUCUGAUUAGUUGGACGGCGGGGUAACGGCCCACCGUGGCUACGAUCGGGAGGGGUGGGGAGGGGAAGGUCCCCCACACGGGAACUGAGACCCGGACCAGACUGCUACGGGACGCAGCAGUGAGGAAGACUGGUCAAUGGACGUAAGCCUGAACCAGCCAAGUAGGGUGCAGGAUGACGGCCCUAUGGGUUGUAAACUGCUUUUAUGCGAGGAUAAAGUGGCCCACGUGUGCGCUUUUGCAGGUACCGCAUGAAUAAGGACCGGCUAAUUCCGUG